This 253-nucleotide ribosomal RNA is filed under the name uncultured bacterium. RNAcentral's name for it is "partial 16S ribosomal RNA". It matches the Rfam family "Bacterial small subunit ribosomal RNA", at positions 524 to 776 of the family's 1533-position model. The record is from RNAcentral.
UACGUAGGGUCCGAGCGUUGUCCGGAAUUACUGGGCGUAAAGAGCUCGUAGGUGGUUUGUCACGUUGUUCGUGAAAACUCACAGCUUAACUGUGGGCGUGCGGGCGAUACGGGCAGACUAGAGUACUGCAGGGGAGACUGGAAUUCCUGGUGUAGCGGUGGAAUGCGCAGAUAUCAGGAGGAACACCGGUGGCGAAGGCGGGUCUCUGGGCAGUAACUGACGCUGAGGAGCGAAAGCGUGGGGAGCGAACAGG